This 315-nucleotide ribosomal RNA is filed under the name uncultured eukaryote. RNAcentral describes it as "partial 18S ribosomal RNA". It matches the Rfam family "Eukaryotic small subunit ribosomal RNA", at positions 1470 to 1796 of the family's 1831-position model. The record is from RNAcentral.
CCCUUAGAUGUCCUGGGCCGCACGCGCGCUACACUGAACGGAUCAGCGCGUUUUCCCUUCCCGAGAGGGACGGGUAACCUGCUGAACCCCGUUCGUGGUAGGGAUCGGGGCUUGCAAUUAUUCCCCGUGAACCAGGAAUGCCCAGUAAGUGCAAGUCAUAAGCUUGCGUUGAUUACGUCCCUGCCCUUUGUACACACCGCCCGUCGCUCCUACCGAUUUCGAGUGGUUCGGUGAACCUUUCGGACCGGCAAUGCCUCGUGUUGCGCCGGAAAGUCAAGUAAACCAUAUCACUUAGAGGAAGGAGAAGUCGUANCA